Molecule: ribosomal RNA, 427 nt
Filed under: uncultured bacterium
Lineage: Bacteria
Description: partial 16S ribosomal RNA
Rfam family: Bacterial small subunit ribosomal RNA
Source: RNAcentral
UAGGGAAUCUUCCGCAAUGGGCGAAAGCCUGACGGAGCAACGCCGCGUGAGUGAUGAAGGUCUUAGGAUCGUAAAACUCUGUUAUUAGGGAAGAACAAACGUGUAAGUAACUGUGCACGUCUUGACGGUACCUAAUCAGAAAGCCACGGCUAACUACGUGCCAGCAGCCGCGGUAAUACGUAGGUGGCAAGCGUUAUCCGGACUUCUUGGGCGUAAAGCGCGCGUAGGCGGUUUUUUAAGUCUGAUGUGAAAGCCCACGGCUCAACCGUGGAGGGUCAUUGGAAACUGGAAAACUUGAGUGCAGAAGAGGAAAGUGGAAUUCCAUGUGUAGCGGUGAAAUGCGCAGAGAUAUGGAGGAACACCAGUGGCGAAGGCGACUUUCUGGUCUGUAACUGACGCUGAUGUGCGAAAGCGUGGGGAUCAAACA